CCAUGCAGUGGUGCUUUCCUGUUGCAUACAAAAAAGGAAUCGACUAUAUUUUCACUGAGAUUUCGCUGGUUGAGGUCAUCAGAAGCGGAGGAAAAUUUCCUCGUGCUCACUGAUUUAAUGCAUCGCUCUGCGGUCACCCAUUCAAGGAAGGCCCUUGCCUGAGGCUACUUAUUUCAAAAAAUCGAUGAAAUCACGCGACGACCCAUCGAGUUUUGAUUCGAGGCCAAUGGCAUUGACGUAAGUCAUCCGGGGACGAUCGGCGAGAGUGGGGAAACGGUCCGGACCUAUGACUCUGUCGAUUUCUUCCUGCGCUUUUCUUUGAACUUCCGGAUAAAGGACCAGAUACAGGAAACAAAAGUUCAAGGCUUUCGUCGUCGUUUCCGAACCAGCCAUGAAGAGGUCCACGCAAAUCGCCAACAGUUGCUUUUCUGCAGUCAUUAUUUGCAUUAUAAAAAAUUGCUCAGAAAAAAUGCUGAAUUUUAAUUCUUUGCUAGAGAAACAAAGCUCUGCGGAAAAGUUUCAAGCUCCCUCGACUGAUUGUCGUUAUAAGUCAUGCCCGUCAACUGAGAAAAAAAAUUUCCGUUUUUUGUAACACUCGCUCUUUUUAACAGUCACGAUGACAUUUUUUAUUCGCUGUCAAAACUGACUGCCUCAGAACUUUGUUCAUAUAGUACGUCCUAAACACAAACUCACCUGAGAACGUUUCAUUAAGAUUUUCAGAUUGAAGAAUUUUGAGAUACGCGUCCAUGAGAUCACAGGGAGCUUCGGGAUCGAAUUUCUGUUUGUGAAGUUUCAAUUCUUCCUGCAAACAAAAAUGAGAAUACUGAAGUUCAAGCAGAGAUUCAAUGGCCCGGAAUCUGAAGCUGGGAACACUUGCAUAUAAAAAGGCCCACAGUUGUUGAUUUAUCAGUUCCUUAUCAUCUUGGGUGAAUCUACGACAAGAAGAAAGACAAAAACCAUCAUUGAGUGCCAGGAUUACAGGAGUGCCAGGAUCGACAAAUUUUUCCAUUUUUUUUCAACCUUUUGCCAGCCAUCAUUCUCCAAAGAGUGUUGAGAACCGGAACACCAAAGGUGUCAUCCAUCUGAAUUAUUAUUUCAGAAAAAUUCGAAGCUUUUCGGACCUCGUCGUAGUCUUCGGCUUUGACGGAUUCUCCUGUUUCGUCAGCCGGUAAAUUCGACCAUCGUUCUUCGCGUUGCUGCUGUUGACCGAAGUUUUGCGAACGUAUGAAUUCCUCUCCAGACGCUUGAGCAAACUAUUGACGAGAUGCGAUGCUUCCUCUUGUAUCA
Molecule: long non-coding RNA, 1287 nt
Organism: Venturia canescens
Lineage: Eukaryota; Metazoa; Arthropoda; Insecta; Hymenoptera; Ichneumonidae
Exons: 4
Source: RefSeq, a predicted model, not a curated record